UCCGUCGGUGGCCCUCUUUUUCCGGCCUUAUUGGGCGUAAAGCGCGCGCAGGCGGUUCCUUAAGUCUGAUGUGAAAGCCCACGGCUCAACCGUGGUGGGUCAUUGGAAACUGGGGGACUUGAGUGCAGAAGAGGAGAGCGGAAUUCCACGUGUAGCGGUGAAAUGCGUAGAGAUGUGGAGGAACACCAGUGGCGAAGGCGGCUCUCUGGUCUGUAACUGACGCUGAGGCGCGAAAGCGUGGGGAGCAAACAGG
This 253-nucleotide ribosomal RNA is filed under the name uncultured bacterium. Its description in RNAcentral is "partial 16S ribosomal RNA". It matches the Rfam family "Bacterial small subunit ribosomal RNA", at positions 524 to 776 of the family's 1533-position model. The record is from RNAcentral.